GAUGAACGCUGGCGGCGCGCCUAAUACAUGCAAGUCGAGCGAACAGAUAAGGAGCUUGCUCCUUUGACGUUAGCGGCGGACGGGUGAGUAACACGUGGGUAACCUACCUAUAAGACUGGGAUAACUUCGGGAAACCGGAGCUAAUACCGGAUAACAUUUGGAACCGCAUGGUUCUAAAGUGAAAGAUGGUUUUGCUAUCACUUAUAGAUGGACCCGCGCCGUAUUAGCUAGUUGGUAAGGUAACGGCUUACCAAGGCGACGAUACGUAGCCGACCUGAGAGGGUGAUCGGCCACACUGGAACUGAGACACGGUCCAGACUCCUACGGGAGGCAGCAGUAGGGAAUCUUCCGCAAUGGGCGAAAGCCUGACGGAGCAACGCCGCGUGAGUGAUGAAGGGUUUCGGCUCGUAAAACUCUGUUAUUAGGGAAGAACAAAUGUGUAAGUAACUGUGCACGUCUUGACGGUACCUAAUCAGAAAGCCACGGCUAACUACGUG
Molecule: ribosomal RNA, 497 nt
Filed under: uncultured bacterium
Lineage: Bacteria
Description: partial 16S ribosomal RNA
Rfam family: Bacterial small subunit ribosomal RNA
Source: RNAcentral